RNAcentral lists this ribosomal RNA (253 nucleotides) under uncultured bacterium. RNAcentral's name for it is "partial 16S ribosomal RNA". It matches the Rfam family "Bacterial small subunit ribosomal RNA", at positions 524 to 776 of the family's 1533-position model. The record is from RNAcentral.
UACGAAGGGUGCAAGCGUUACUCGGAAUUACUGGGCGUAAAGCGUGCGUAGGUGGUUUGUUAAGUCUGAUGUGAAAGCCCUGGGCUCAACCUGGGAAUUGCAUUGGAUACUGGCAGGCUAGAGUGCGGUAGAGGGUAGUGGAAUUCCCGGUGUAGCAGUGAAAUGCGUAGAGAUCGGGAGGAACACCAGUGGCGAAGGCGGGUCUCUGGGCCGAUACUGACGCUGAGGAGCGAAAGCGUGGGGAGCGAACAGG